This 3922-nucleotide long non-coding RNA is filed under the name Gallus gallus (chicken). Lineage: Eukaryota; Metazoa; Chordata; Aves; Galliformes; Phasianidae. The record is from RNAcentral.
GGAAUAUGUUACACUUCUAGUUUCCCUGUGAGCAAGAGCUGAGAGGAAAUACAGCAAAUGGGUAAAUUCUAUGCUGUUUUGGAAUGUAAGCAGAAAUUACUAUGAAGGCUUGUAAACUGCAUGGUAUAUGGUCUUAGUCUUAACUGGAGUAUUUUCUGUUAUGCAUCUCUGAAGUCUAGAGCCAAAGAAAGAUGACGGGAAUAAGCUUGUCUUCCAGCUGAGGAGCUGUUGAUCUUGACUAUGCGAUGACAAAAUAGCUGCUAUCUAUAUUGACAGCAGUUAGUAGUGUAAUAGGAACAAGUGGACAGCACUAAUGAUCCCAGUUGAAUGUUAGCUAUUGGGAGUGGUGGGGUGAAAUGUUUUAAACUGGUUUGCUAAUAGGAACUGAAUGUCAUUUGGUGCUUGAAGAGCAUCAGAGUGGAAUUGGAGCAGAAUUUUGCACACCAAGAUUGUUCCAUACUGAAUCACAGCAUGCCCAGGAGAUUUGCUCCAGAAUGAGUUGAUGGUUGGACCUGAUGACCUUAGAAGUAUUUUUCCAGUCUUCUAUACGCUAUUCUAAACAGUCUAAAAUGGACUGUAGAGUACGUGUUUUUGCUUUGUAAUGCUUUCCACUUUUUUCAUUAUAGCUCUAACUUCUCUUCAAAAAGGGAAAGGUAGGAUUGAAGAGCUCUCUUUAAGCUGAAGGAAUCACUGAUUCAUGUCUGAACAGUGCGAGUUGAAGGGUCACAGCAGUGUGCUGGGCUUCAACCUCCGAACUAAUCUUGGUGGGGAAGUUUUAUUUGAUUAAAUGAACAAAGUACUUUCCGGAUGCUGCAACAGGCAGCAUCACAUCAUUCAGCCUCACGCUGAUACAGAUCUCAGUUGCAAUAGAUUUACUGCCCCCAGCUGAGUUGCUCAUCAGAGCCCGCAACCAUUUUAAGUUUAUAUUUCUUCUUCUCUCUGGUUCGUCUUUCAUUUUUACCAGUCCAGCAUCAGCCAAAAGAUUAAGGCAUCAGCAGUUUUUAAGUCACUUUGCUUUAAGGAAACAGCACAGUUAGUUACAUGUGUUCCAGAUUCUGGGUCUUUAUACUCUGAAGUUAAGAACUAUGCGGAAUGUAUCUAUUAAGUGACACAACGGUUAUGUGAAAACAUCAAAAUCUUUGGAUAUAGACUAGAAACAGAACUGAGCUUAGACUCUGAAACAAGAGCAAGUUAUUAUUAAUUAAAGCUUCAGAUGCUUCACGGGGGCUGGUUAUUUCCUGACCAACAAGCCUACUGGUUGCUUUCAGUUUCAAAUAUCUAACAAAAAACAUCUUAAAUACCGAGAGGAACAGGCACUAGCUGCAAUAAUCUGUUGGAGAAGGAGAGCUGAUACAGAGAAGCACUCCUCCAUGGUACAUUUUUCUUAAAGUUCCAUUACCUUUGAAAGAAAAAAAAAAAACAAACAAAAAAAAACUGAUCCAAACUACUACUACAAGAACAGAAAGAAGAUUGGCUUAACUCUGUGAACCCCAUAAAGAUAGAGGAUGACGGUACUCACUUGCCUAAGUAGUUUUCUAAAGAAACUAAUGAGGUUUAUUUUGCCUUAAAAUAAGGCAUGGUGUUUAUUAUAGGACAAGCUGAGCUAGAGGAAUGAGUUUAUGCUGAAGUCUUUGACAUAAUAUUGCCUUACUACAAGGAAAAGAAAGCCGAUUAGAGGAGCAGUGUCUUGUCUUGCCCUAUCUUACUGCCUCAUGCUGCUGGAGAUGCAGCCAAGCCAUGACAGCUGGGAAACAAGCUAGCUACAGCACAAUGGCUGAAGGAAGAUAUCCAUGACCAGACAGCAAUAAGGCUGCAGCUGAAAGUCUGGUUGCCACAAAAAAAAAAAAAAAAAAACAAAAACAACACCACACAAAUUACUCACAUAGGCUUCGGUUUGAGUUUACAGUUGCAAUUUAUCGCGUUUUAUAACCUUGAGAAGUUUGAGUUACUAGGCUCAUAAGUUUGUAAGUGUACUGGGUUUAUAACGGCCGUUGCGUUUGAGACCGUGUGCUAAACAAACAAAAAUCUGAACCAGUGCCUCCUAAAGCAUGAAUCAUGUUUGGUUUAGACAUGUAUUUCAUUAACCAUUUUAUGCCAGACUAAUCACACUUUCAUUAAAAUCUAGCUACAGUGGUGCAGUCUGAGGCUAGGAGCAGGAAGUUCACUUUGUUAUUGCUGAGCAGAUGUUAAGCUCCUAUUCCUCUUGUCACAGCUCAAGUUGAGACCGGUGUGUUGAAGAAGUAUUGCCAUCCUGAGGGAAAACUGAAGUGUUUUCUUCCUGCACUCUCCUUGUGAACCACCUCCCUCCUCCCUCCACCUACAACACAGCUGCAUGAAAGAGUUCAGUCUGAUUGCAGAUUAAGCCACAGAAGUUCGAAUGGAGGUUAUAGUUGGAGCAAAACAGCUGCCUUGUAAAGGUUGAGGCUCUUCUGUGUGUGUGUGUGUGUAUGUGCUUCAUUCACAGCCCAAGGAAAUGGAAGUUCUGGCUUUGCCUGGAGAUUUGAUGCUCAGUCCUGCAAGACUGGAUAUUGCCAGUCACCACCGGUUAUACUGUAGCCAUCUUCAUCUGAAAGUCAUUUUUCAUAGGAUGCCAGAAACAAUGUGUUCAAGUUCUCCUUGCUCCCUUCCACUCACGCUUGUGUUCUCCAGAGGUCACAUAGUGUUACAGAUUUGUUUAGGUACUCCAUGAAGUUUAAUUUAAAUUAGUCACUUAUUCCUGCAUACUUGAAUAGAGGGCUUCAAUCUGCUUCUGGAAGACUUUAACAAGCUCUGCUCUCUUCGCCUUCAGCGUUGGCGUCAAGAGUCCAUUUUCUACAGAGAACAGCUCUGUGUGGAUGUACAGGUCUUUAACCUAUUAAAAGAAUACAGUUUCACAAGUGACACUUAGAGCAUAAGCAACAGCUCUUCCCAGCCUUCUCAAGCUUAGCACAAUUCAGUCUCGAGAGCUCUAGUAACUAAACUGCUUCUCUGACACAGGAAUUAAACUCCUGACUGAGAGUCAGCCUGUGGGAAACCUACAUUUCAUUCCAUAGCAAUUGCAUCUGUUGCCAUAUGCAUGCAUGUGCUUCUUGGUCAAGAGACAGGUAACCAGCAGUGCUUCCAUGCCUACUGCAUUCAGUUGUCCUGAGCAGCUGUCUUAGGUCCCAUUCCAGCAAGAAUACAGACUUCCCAGCCAUUGUAUUAGCAAUAGAAGCACUUGUGACAAGCAGGAUUUGAAAGUACUCACUUGUUCAAAGGACUUAAGGCCGGCUGCUUUCCCCAGUCUAACCAGAUCUUCUAAAAUAGCUUUCUUCACUGCCUGGAAGAGACAGGAGCAGUGUGGGUAAAGCUGCCAUUUGGUAAUUGGCUCAGGACCACAACCAUUGCCCAGUCAGAGAGAAGUGAGGUUGGCAAGAAUACAUGUAUAUCUUUCAGCAUUCAAAAUUUCUCACAUUAAGACCAUGACAAGAACAUACAUAUCUUCUCACUGGAAAAUAUGGAGUUACAGUCCUUGAAACUUCCAGGAACAUCUAUAUUAGUUCCAUCUUCUACUUUAAGGAUGUUUGCGCGAUUCACACAGCGUUAAGCCAAUUUAAUUUAUAAAAAGGUGGGUAAAAAAAUGAAGCCAAGGCAAUGCAUGAUUGGAUUUCAGAAUAAAAAUCUACCUAUAACCCAUUGAAAAGGUGAGGCCACUCACUGGAUUUUUGCAGAUAUCUUCAUAGGAACCCUUUAUUCCCAGUUUUGCUGCAAAUUCUGGAAGUGUCUCAGCAUCAGGAACCACUAUACCUAUUAAACAAGACCGCAGGCUUUCCCCAUGUACAAAGACUUGGGCUACAGCAACACUUCUGAUAUAGACAUUUUCUAUCUUCUCUGGAGCAAUGUAUUCUCCUUGUGCGAGUUUAAAUAUGUUUUUCUUCCUAUCAAUGAUCUUCAGCGUUCCAUU